UUUUAACGGCCGCGGUAUCCUAACCGUGCGAAGGUAGCGUAAUCACUUGCCCUUUAAAUGAGGGCCAGUAUGAAUGGCUUUAUGAGGGCCUAACUGUCUCCUACAACCAAUUAAUGAACCUGAUCUCCCAGUACAAAAGCUGGUAUAUACACAUAAGACGAGAAGACCCUGUGGAGCUUUAAACAAACCCUAAACCACACCACCCAGACACAAAACCACGUAGUAUUAGACAAGUUUUAAGUUGGGGCGACUGUGGGGAAAAAUAAAACCCCCAUGAAAUACCACUAUUUUCGGUAGACAUACCAAAAAUACAAUGAAAUGACCCAGUAAUACUGACUUACGAACCAAGUUACCCCAGGGGUAACAGCGCCAUCCCCUUCAAGAGUCCCUAUCGCCAAGGGGGUUUACGACCUCGAUGUUGGAUCAGGACAUCCAGGUGGUGUAGCCGCUACCAAGGGUUCGUUUGUUCAACGAUUAACAGUCCU
This 485-nucleotide ribosomal RNA is filed under the name Uroplatus malama. RNAcentral describes it as "partial large subunit ribosomal RNA". It matches the Rfam family "Bacterial large subunit ribosomal RNA", at positions 1922 to 2597 of the family's 2925-position model. The record is from RNAcentral. Lineage: Eukaryota; Metazoa; Chordata; Lepidosauria; Squamata; Gekkonidae.